This 257-nucleotide ribosomal RNA is filed under the name uncultured prokaryote. RNAcentral's name for it is "partial 16S ribosomal RNA". It matches the Rfam family "Bacterial small subunit ribosomal RNA", at positions 524 to 780 of the family's 1533-position model. The record is from RNAcentral.
UACGUAGUUGGCAAGCGUUGUCCGGAUUUAUUGGGCGUAAAGCGAGCGCAGGUGGUUUCUUAAGUCUGAUGUGAAAGCCCACGGCUCAACCGUGGAAGGUCAUUGGAAACUGGGGAACUUGAAUGCAGAAGAGGAGAGUGGAAUUCCAUGUGUAGCGGUGAAAUGCGUAGAUAUAUGGAGGAACACCAGUGGCGAAGGUGACUCUCUGGUCUGUUAUUGACACUGAGGCUCGAAAGCGUGUGGAGCAAACAGGAUUA